UUCUCUCUCUCUUUCUCUCUCUCCAUGCCAAAAAUGGCAAAUCUGCAGAAUAUAGCAGUUGCAUGUAGCUUUAUUGUGUCCAUUUUGAUGAAAGCAUUUAAUAUGACACUCGAAUUCGCGAUUUUAAAUCACAAACAUGGCUAGGUUGUGAGAUUUGGAAGCACUUAAGGCUUUCAAAUUCAUUUUUGAUCAGGCGGCGCCACAAAAAGAUAAUGCUCUACCCUGCUUAUUUGUUUCGAUAUUAGUCUACAUGUUAAUACUCUAUUAAUGAGGUUUGGUUGCUGAUUUGCCUGUGGUUUAGUUAAGUUUAUAUGGUAAAUAGGCAUGGGUUAGGAUGCAGAUAUGAAGGUUGUCACUUGUUACCUUUUAAGCCAUGUCUGACAUUAACAAGUGGUAUUUUUCGAAAUAGUUUGAAUGUGUAUGCUUAAACAAUGCAAUGAAUGUUUAAAUAUCCCAUAGUAGACUCCAUGAAUAUGCUGCAACAGUCUUAGUGCAGUUAUGGAUGUUGAAGGUCACUUUCUUGAUGUCCAAAUGCUUGAAUCUGACAAGAACAUGAUCACAUAAAUUAUGAUAGUUUGAUGAAAUUUUCAAGCUGAUACAGAUCCUACUAAAUGUAAUAGAACAUUCAUAGUGCUGUGGUGUUUAUUUUGGAGACUCUGAAGUGAUUGUUUCCUUUUGUUGAAUGAGAAUGUGACUCUUUUCUUUCUGAGUCUAUUUUUCCUGAGAUCUUGUAUGCUUGUUUGAUUGUCAACUAAUUGAUAUGAGUCUGUGAUUGGUAUAAAGUUUAGGAAAGAUCAUGACUAGGCUAAAACAAACUUGGAAGAAUUAGACAUGUCUAUAAGAAAUCUAUGGCAAUUGGCUAAGGUAUUUGGAGUUGUGUUUGCCUAUAUUUGUAUGGGUCUGGGGUCUCCCGUGUCUGUUUGAAUUUGCUUAAGAUGGUCAAGUGACUCUGAAUAGUGGUAUAUUGUGCAUUAAAAGGUAACUUUAAAGAAAAUGACAUCUUAGAGUAGGGCAGGGCAGUCUAAAAUGAAGUUAUGAUUUAGGACCAUUCCUAAGAUAAUGGGGUGUCAAAGGCCCAUUAGGAGUUAAUGAGAAAGUCUAUAGAAGCUGUUGAGGUUGCUUUGAAAUAAAAAAGGGAACAUCAUGUGCCAUUAACAGAACUAAGUGUCAUGUUGGGUUUCAUUUGAGUAGAAUUUGGGCUCUGCAUUCAUAUUACCUUAUUUUCUCUGUUUCAUGUCUGAUUUUAUGAAAGGGAGUUUAAGAUAGAUUUAAAAGGUAAUUUAAAGUCUUGAUGUGUAUUUAACUGUCUAAAGAAAUGAUUGAACAGUUGGAGUUGGAAUUUUCUUGAACCUAAAAUUUGAUAUUCAACUUGAGUUUGCUUAGAACUCUUAAGUGACUUAAUUGUCCCACUUUCAUGAGUAUUAAUGACAAAAGGUAUUCAAUGAGGCUUCAUAUGGUAUGAGUUUAAAACUAAAGUGGACUAGAAACUGUUUGGUUAAUAUGAUUAGUUAGGAUUUAGGUAAGGCUCAUUUUUAAAAGGGUGGGCAGUAGCAAACCAUCUUUGUCCAUGAGUUUGGUAGUUGGCAUUUGGUAGGAGAGUGAGGUAAAGGGUUGGGGUUUGCUUUGGGAGAUUAAAAGGUGAGCCUAGGUACGAGCUGGAGGUAAUGACCAGUGGAACCUGGGAUCCCUUUUUGCUAGUAGUAAGGUGCAGGAAAGGGAUGGGGAGGUGAUGACCUCACCCUAUCCUGCCCUUCUUUCAGGACCCUAAGGCUUCUUCAACUCCUUAGACCUUACUCUCAUGACUAUGGGAGUUCAGUGAGAGUUGAUAAUUGGCCAAGAAUGGUUUGCCCAGCCUUGGGGAAAAUUCUUGUGAUUUCUUAUUGUCUAAAACUAAAUCAGAAUAGAGGGACAGUCACUUGUUAUAUCUUUGGCAUGCCUUGGGGUCUUUUGAAUUUUAUGUUGUCCAAAACUAAGUUUGAAACAAAAGUAGGCAUCCUUGUCAUGAUUAGAAAGGUUGAAUUGCCACUAACUGAGUCCUAAAAAGGUGAAUUGCUUUUCUGGUGUCUCAUCCAUGUUUCUCUUCUUUUUUAGGGUUUGCUUUGUCUGGUUGCUUGCUUGCCCUUUAGAGGGAUGAGUUUUAAGGUUGGUAUGGUUUUUUUUAUGUGAGUACUGUGGUCAUGUGAAGACACCUAACUGAGUCUAAACUUAGAAAUGAACAUUUGACUGAUCUUAAAUUAGUAAAGACUUUUCACUUCUUGAACUAGAUAGUGUCACCUAGACUUUACUGAAAACUGCAGUAUAACCUUGACUAAAAAUAAGAACUGUGAUCUGCCUAGUAAUAAUUAGUCCUGCAUCAGUAGUAUUUUAAAGUCUUAUUAAACACAAAAUUAGGAGAAUGAAAUGACUAGUGUUAUUGUGCUUAUGCUAAAAUGAAUGGUGUUCAAUGGGAGUUGGACUGAUAUUAGUUAUAGAGGUGUGUCAAGUACUCCUAAGGACAAUAUGGGCCACUUGGUCUAGAUUGGUAUUUUCAAGACACCUCAAGAGGGGCAGAGAAGAGCCAAGCUCAGCUUGACUCAUAGUAUCUACCCCCAAAUGGGGGGUGUCAUGACCAGUCUCUAUGCCAUGGGGGACAUCCUUGUCUUAAAGGGAUAGGAUUUCCUUAAAUAAAGAAAUAAGACCCGAAGGUAAAAAGGUUUAGGAAAUUUAGCAUGAUGAAAGGUGUAGGGUGCACCUAGGAGACUAGGAAUAAUGAAUGAGAUCAUUUUAAGAAGUUAGUCUUUAGUGUCUAGUAAAUAAACUAGUCUGAGUUUGUAGGUAGUAAGUGUCAUCUGCUAGGAGUUUAAAGGAAUUGGAUAAUGUGAAGAUUGGGUCUUGAACUUCAUUCUUUUUCUUUUUAGGUCACUUAGUGCAUUUAUAAUUGAUUUCUGUCCCUGUCCAUUUUAAGUAGUAAUUGGUAUGAGGAGGCUUUAUUGUAACAUGAUCAUUUAUCUACUGUAUUAAUACAAAGAUUUUUUUCUGUAGUCUUUUAUGGGAUUAUAAAACUGGACAGUCCCAGUUUCAUUUGGUGUUGUUGUUUAGGCUCCAUGAUGUUACAGUCCUAUCUCUUGAGGAUUACAAGUUGUGGAAUUUCCCCUUUGUUUGUAUCCUUUUAUUGUGCUUCUGUGAUCAUUUUAAACAAGUUUUAAUCUUCUAUCCCAAGACCUGCUAUAAAUAUAUGAAUUGACAAAUCAUAACUUUAAUGUCAUGGAGAUUAAGGUUGGGAUUUUGAUUAACUUUGCCUUGUGCAUAGCAUUUGGACAUGUAAGAAUAGAAUUAAAAUAUAGACUCUACCUAGACUUGUAAAAUAAGGGGAGUAUACACAUGGUAUACACUUGGUAUACACAUAUCAUGUGUAUGGCAAGGAUAUAUUAUGUGUAUACCUAUAAGAAAGUAGGCUGGUUAUUGGCAGGAUACAUAUGUGUAUAAAAGAAUAUGUCUUGUUUGGACCAUUUAUUUAAUCAAGAAUUCUGAAAGUGUUAUAUAUAUUGAAUGUAUGUUAUUACAUUACUGUACUCGUCCGCUCUUUCAUCUUGAUUCUGAAUUCAUUUAAAAGCCACUUAUAUUCAAAAUAUUUCCUACAAGUUGAUACUUGUGCACGACUUUGAGACUAUGAUUAUAUACUGUGGCCACACCGGUUCGUUUGGGAGUUUGAGGAGGUUUUGGAGGAUAGGUCUAGCCACUCCCCGAUAUCCAGCCAUGCCGGGGGUUCAUGAAACCCCUUGGAACUUGUGCGGUGUCGGGAAAAAGGGUGGUGACAACCUUUUCCCAUCGGUAUAUCAUGGUUUGAAAUUUUCCAGUGGAGCAAUGGUAUAUGAUUAAGUCUUUUGUUGUGCACUUGUGAUCAUAUGGGGAGAUAUGUCUAUAUAUAUGCAUAUAUUACGCUUAUGACAAAAUCAGGUCCAUCAAACAUAGAUUUAAUAAAUAGGGACAUGCAUGUAUAUGUAUGUAUAUGAAUGUAUAAUCCUGAUAGUGAUUAGAUCCAUCCGGACCUAUACUAAUUCAACUCCUUUUCCUUUUCCUCCUGCCGCACGGCCACUUGGGCCAGAGUCUUGGCCCAACAUGAGCAUUCUUUCAAAUUGUGUAAGUCUAAACUGAAAGCUAAUAUUAUGAAGGCUCAGCCAUGGGUGAGAAUGGCAUGAAGGCCCAGCCAUGGGUAAAAAUGGUUUUUAAGGGGGUUUGGUACACCCCCUAACUCACUUCUUUCCUCCUUUUAAUUUCAGCAUAUCAAUCUUUUCUUUUAUGUGAAAUUUUGUACUUGUAUAAACUCACAUUAUUAUUGGAAUCUUUACAUUUGAA
Molecule: long non-coding RNA, 4335 nt
Organism: Lycium ferocissimum
Lineage: Eukaryota; Viridiplantae; Streptophyta; Magnoliopsida; Solanales; Solanaceae
Exons: 2
Source: RefSeq, a predicted model, not a curated record